RNAcentral lists this ribosomal RNA (425 nucleotides) under uncultured cyanobacterium. Its description in RNAcentral is "bacterial SSU rRNA". It matches the Rfam family "Bacterial small subunit ribosomal RNA", at positions 356 to 796 of the family's 1533-position model. The record is from RNAcentral. Lineage: Bacteria; Bacillati; Cyanobacteriota.
GGGUAAUUUUCCGCAAUGGGCGAAAGCCUGACGGAGCAACGCCGCGUGAGGGACGAAGGCUUCUGGGCUGUAAACCUCUUUUCUCAAGGAAGAAGAUAUGACGGUACUUGAGGAAUAAGCCACGGCUAAUUCCGUGCCAGCAGCCGCGGUAAUACGGGAGUGGCAAGCGUUAUCCGGAAUUAUUGGGCGUAAAGCGUCCGCAGGCGGCUUUUCAAGUCUGCUGUUAAAAAGUGGAGCUUAACUCCAUCAUGGCAGUGGAAACUGAAAGGCUUGAGUAUGGUAGGGGCAGAGGGAAUUCCCGGUGUAGCGGUGAAAUGCGUAGAUAUCGGGAAGAACACCAGUGGCGAAGGCGCUCUGCUGGGCCAUUACUGACGCUCAUGGACGAAAGCCAGGGGAGCGAAAGGGAUUAGAUACCCCUGUAGUCA